CUCUCCCCGCCCGGAUUAGUGGCAGCUUGGCCUGACUCUCCGGGGCUCCUUCCCCCGCCCCCGCCUGCUGCCCUCCCCUGGGCAGGGGGCUGCUCCACCCGAGGGGCACUGUGCUUGCCCAGGAGCCACUCCCAUGGGCUCCUCUCCAGUGCUCGGCCUGGAAGCAUUAGGAGCAGGGACGCGGCAGACCCCCUGAGUGUGAGGCUGGAGCAGGCGGUGGCGUGGGACCCACCUCCGCCCAGACACUUGGGUGCUGGAGGAGGAAACCGGCGGAGCAGCUUCCUCACUCUCAGUUGCGCGUCUGGCGAUGGCGAUCAGAGGUCCUGCUGCGCUCCCCGCUGCGCUCUCCCUCCAUUAGCCGCGCUGCCCCGCUUUGCGCCCUCGCUGGUGCUCUCGUCUGGGUUCCAGGAUCGG
Long non-coding RNA from Myotis brandtii (Brandt's bat), 414 nucleotides. RefSeq lists it as uncharacterized. Lineage: Eukaryota; Metazoa; Chordata; Mammalia; Chiroptera; Vespertilionidae. The record is from RefSeq and is a predicted model, not a curated record. The transcript is spliced from 3 exons.